This is a long non-coding RNA of Sapajus apella (tufted capuchin), 117 nucleotides long. RefSeq lists it as uncharacterized. The transcript has 2 exons. The record is from RefSeq and is a predicted model, not a curated record. NCBI's taxonomy places the organism in Eukaryota, Metazoa, Chordata, Mammalia, Primates, Cebidae.
CUACUUGGGAGGUUGAGGUGGGAGGAUCACUUUUGUCUGGGAGAUAGAGGCUGCAUUGAACUAUGAUCGUGUCACUGCACUCCAGCCUGUGUGACAGAGCAAGACUCUGUCUCAAAA